Molecule: ribosomal RNA, 161 nt
Filed under: uncultured bacterium
Lineage: Bacteria
Description: partial 16S rRNA
Rfam family: Bacterial small subunit ribosomal RNA
Source: RNAcentral
UAGGGAAUCUUCCACAAUGGGCGCAAGCCUGAUGGAGCAACACCGNGUGAGUGAAGAAGGGUUUCGGCUCGUAAAGCUCUGUUGUUAAAGAAGAACACGUAUGAGAGUAACUGUUCAUACGUUGACGUAUUAACCAGAAGUCACGGCUAACUACGUGCCAC